GGCACUCAACAGAGGGAAAGUGGUUUUCUGAGACGUAGGGUGAUAAAAUCUGAAGUGCUCUCUCGUUAGCAUUAAGUUCUCAUACCCAUUCUGAGACAGAAAAACAUAAAGAUAGUGCCUCUGAAUACUGGGCACACAUUAGAAUCAUCUGGAAAAGCUUUUAAAAAAUACUGGUGCCUGGUCCCACUCCAGGUGGUAGAGAACCGUGGGGGUAGGUCUCCCGCAUCAAUGUAUUCUUGAAAGCCCUCCAAGUAAUUAUGGUGUGCAGCCAAGAAACAUGACUGUAGCCUCUCAGGCUCUGAUUUUAUGUAAGUUUAAUUACUUAUGGAUACUCUUUUUGUUUCUAGAAGCUUCUGCUGGAGAAUCGUGGUUCCAUGGGUGCCACUUCACCGUGGCUUCUCACUUCCUUCCAGUGCGGAGGCGUUAAGGUGACAGCUGCAAGGACAAGUGCUGUCCUGGGUACUGAGGGCACCAAAAUAUUCAGACCUGCUUCUAAGGAGUCUGGUUCAUGGAAGGGUCAGAAUAACAAAUCCACAUUUGUACUGCCCCAGACCAGCUCUCUUCUAAGGGCGCUGUGACUUUCCAGCAGGCAUGAAGAGAAGAGUGAGCCGUGGAAAGAGUGCAGCUCUGCCGUUAUCUCAUCUGUAACUGGGGUCCUUUUGUCCCCUGGUCUCCUGUUCCUUGUAUGUAACAUGUGGGAUUGAAAGAUGUGAGUCUAAGGUUCCUUUCACCUGAAGAGUUUUCUUAAGUUCUACUUUGGAAAGUUGCAAUCAAGGACUGUUCCUGCAACUUAUUUGAUUUAUAAUCUGUCUUUGGUUAAGUAAAUUCCUAUUUUACAUUUUGUUUAUUUCUUGAAUGAAGUAUUUAGUAAUGCUCAUGGCAAAUCUAGUGAAGUCAAGGGCAGAAAGAUUAAGCAUUAGUUGGGAAGGCGAAAUGGAAGCCCUUCACGACCCUCGUUCAUGAUUCAAUAGGCUCUGCAUUUCUAUGGAGUUGGGGAUCUUGGGCACAAACGCUGUUAUGGGGUCAGGAUCCCACCAUGACCUUGUAGCUUAUUUCUUCCUCACCCCAUUCCAUUUCCCCACAGAGUCCCAUCUCUUGUACAACGGAUAAACCACGACUCCAUCCCAAAGGGGAGCUAAUGAUUAACUGUGGGAAUAUUAAGUGUUAUGGCAAAUGGGUAAGGGAAAUAAUCUGUGACCAGAAAAUAUGGGUCACUGGUCCUAUUCUGUCCAACUGUGGUGGUUAUUGGGUGGACUGUACUUAAAUCUGUCACGGUCUCUGAACUGAUAAUAUGUGUGAAAUUCUGCUCCUGAAGGAAACCAGCAUUCUGAACUCAUUGUUCUCAGCCUGCCCUUUCUUUUUGCCAACAGGACAAAGCUUCCUUUGGUUUUUCCAUGACUUUUAUUGCCUAGCGCUAUUGUGGUAAGAAACCACGAGCUCUGCAGAGGGAGAUAACUGAGUUUGAAUUCUACUGCUGCUCUUUUGCUAUCAGGAUUGCAUUGGGUACAAGCCAAUUAACUUCUCUGAGUCUUAAUACUCUUAUGUCUAAAAUGAGACUGUUAAUGCAACCUUUUAAAUUUCUUGUGAAGAUUAAUUAAAAUAAUAGGCCUGACAUUAUUAGUAGCUAUUUAUUGACACAUAGCUGUUUAUUUAUAUAUGUAUGAACGAAUAUGCUUAUUUGUAUAUCCUAAAAUACGUAACAUGCCAAUUUUUUAAAUGUUUUAACUUUCUAUGGGUGUUCUCACUCAUAAGUGGAAGUUGGACAAUAAGAACACAUGGACACAGGAAGGGGAAGAUCACACACUGGCCUGUUGGGGGUUGGGGGCCA
This is a non-coding RNA of Callithrix jacchus (white-tufted-ear marmoset), 1828 nucleotides long. Lineage: Eukaryota; Metazoa; Chordata; Mammalia; Primates; Cebidae. The record is from RefSeq and is a predicted model, not a curated record.